CCUCUGCCUAGCAGGAGUUUGGAUGGGGAAUGGGGAAGGGGCAGGGGGAAAGGCAGGGGAAAGGAGGAGAAUACAAGGCAGCAUCUCGUGUCCUGCAUGCUGGCAUAUCUGUGUCCCAGACUUGGAGCUCGCAACUGUAUGUGGACACUGCAGACGCCCAGGUGGGCCGCUGAAGAGUUGGGUGAGACCUCUUGGUGGGCUGCCAAUCAUUGUGCUUCCACUCCGUGAGCAGGUACAAGCAGUUGACACAGGAUAUGCCAAUCAGAGACUUCGCUUUUCUGCUGAGUCGGUGGGAAUGUUGGUUUUUCCCAUCGUGGCUGCUAAGCUAGGAAGAUGCAACGGUUGCUGGCAGCUAGCUUCCCCCUCUUGGUAGAGAGAGCUUCCCUGCAGAAUGAAGCCUGAUGGAGAGAAACAGAGCUGAGAGAUGGAGGAAAAGAACCCCAAUUGCUUGCUGAUUGUCUGGAUCCAGCCAUGCCUGAAGGCAUGCUUCUAGAUUUUCCUUUAAUUGAGCCAAUGCAAUUCACUUCUAUCUUAAACUUGUUUGAGUUUUGUUUCUGUCAAUCCUGUGACAUCUAGUGGAACAUAAUACUUCCUAGGAUGUUUGUAAAAAUCAAGUGAGAUAAUAUACAUAAAGAUUUUAGCAUGG
Macaca mulatta (Rhesus monkey) is the source of this 646-nucleotide non-coding RNA. The record is from RefSeq and is a predicted model, not a curated record. Lineage: Eukaryota; Metazoa; Chordata; Mammalia; Primates; Cercopithecidae.